AGUUAAUGAGCUUGUAUAAGCAUGUAUUUUGAAAAUACAAGAAAGAGAGCAACUCUAUUAACUU
This 64-nucleotide transfer RNA is filed under the name Histeroidea sp. 2 KM-2017. Its description in RNAcentral is "tRNA-Ser". The record is from RNAcentral. Lineage: Eukaryota; Metazoa; Arthropoda; Insecta; Coleoptera.